Molecule: ribosomal RNA, 497 nt
Filed under: uncultured bacterium
Lineage: Bacteria
Description: partial 16S ribosomal RNA
Rfam family: Bacterial small subunit ribosomal RNA
Source: RNAcentral
GAUGAACGCUGGCGGCGUGCCUAAUACAUGCAAGUCGAGCGAACAGACGAGGAGCUUGCUCCUCUGACGUUAGCGGCGGACGGGUGAGUAACACGUGGAUAACCUACCUAUAAGACUGGGAUAACUUCGGGAAACCGGAGCUAAUACCGGAUAAUAUAUUGAACCGCAUGGUUCAAUAGUGAAAGACGGUUUUGCUGUCACUUAUAGAUGGAUCCGCGCCGCAUUAGCUAGUUGGUAAGGUAACGGCUUACCAAGGCAACGAUGCGUAGCCGACCUGAGAGGGGGGUCGGCCACACGGGAACUGGAACACGGUCCAGACUCCUACGGGAGGCAGCAGUAGGGAAUCUUCCGCAAUGGGCGAAAGCUUGACGGAGCAACGCCGCGUGAGUGAUGAAGGUCUUCGGAUCGUAAAACUCUGUUAUUAGGGAAGAACAAAUGUGUAAGUAACUAUGCACGUCUUGACGGUACCUAAUCAGAAAGCCACGGCUAACUACGUG